Molecule: ribosomal RNA, 447 nt
Filed under: uncultured bacterium
Lineage: Bacteria
Description: bacterial SSU rRNA
Rfam family: Bacterial small subunit ribosomal RNA
Source: RNAcentral
GUCCAGACUCCUACGGGAGGCAGCAGUGGGGAAUAUUGCACAAUGGGGGAAACCCUGAUGCAGCGACGCCGCGUGAGUGAAGAAGUAAUUCGUUAUGUAAAGCUCUCUCAGCAGGGAAGAAAAUGACGGUACCUGAGUAAGAAGCCCCGGCUAACUACGUGCCAGCAGCCGCGGUAAUACGUAGGGGGCAAGCGUUAUCCGGAUUUACUGGGUGUAAAGGGGGCGCAGACGGCGAUGCAAGCCAGGAGUGAAAGCCCGGGGCCCAACCCCGGGACUGCUCUUGGAACUGCGUGGCUGGAGUGCAGGAGGGGCAGGCGGAAUUCCUGGUGUAGCGGUGAAAUGCGUAGAUAUCAGGAGGAACACCGGUGGCGAAGGCGGCCUGCUGGACUGCAACUGACGUUGAGGCCCGAAAGCGUGGGGAGCAAACAGGAUUAGAUACCCGCGUAA